UACGGCCAUAGAAUCGAGAAAGUGCCGCGUCCCGUCAGAUCCGCGAAGCGAAGCUCGUUAUCGCUCGGUCAGUACCAAGGUCGGGGACGACUUGGGAAUCCCGAGUGCUGUAGUU
Non-coding RNA from Kwoniella shandongensis, 115 nucleotides. The record is from the annotation of a GenBank genome assembly. NCBI's taxonomy places the organism in Eukaryota, Fungi, Basidiomycota, Tremellomycetes, Tremellales, Cryptococcaceae.